Molecule: transfer RNA, 73 nt
Filed under: Camelus bactrianus (Bactrian camel)
Lineage: Eukaryota; Metazoa; Chordata; Mammalia; Artiodactyla; Camelidae
Also listed under: 3 other names
Rfam family: tRNA
About the family: Transfer RNA (tRNA) molecules are approximately 80 nucleotides in length. Their secondary structure includes four short double-helical elements and three loops (D, anti-codon, and T loops).
Source: Rfam by way of RNAcentral
GAGGGUAUAGCUCAAGUGGUAGAGCUCAUGCUUAGCAUGCAUGAGGUCCUGGGUUCAAUCCCCAGUACCUCCA